This 424-nucleotide ribosomal RNA is filed under the name uncultured prokaryote. RNAcentral describes it as "bacterial SSU rRNA". It matches the Rfam family "Bacterial small subunit ribosomal RNA", at positions 355 to 796 of the family's 1533-position model. The record is from RNAcentral.
UGGGGAAUCUUGCACAAUGGGCGCAAGCCUGAUGCAGCCAUGCCGCGUGAGUGAUGAAGGCCCUCGGGUUGUAAAGCUCUUUCAGUGGGGAAGAUAAUGACGGUACCCACAGAAGAAGCCCCGGCUAACUCCGUGCCAGCAGCCGCGGUAAUACGGAGGGGGCUAGCGUUGUUCGGAAUUACUGGGCGUAAAGCGCACGUAGGUGGGUUGAUUAGUCGGGCGUGAAAGCCGGCCGCUUAACCUCGGAAUUGCCUUCGAUACUGUCAGCCUAGAGUCCGAGAGAGGUGAGUGGAAUUCCCAGUGUAGAGGUGAAAUUCGUAGAUAUUGGGAAGAACACCAGUGGCGAAGGCGGCUCACUGGCUCGGUACUGACACUGAGGUGCGAAAGCGUGGGGAGCAAACAGGAUUAGAUACCCCCGUAGUCC